RNAcentral lists this ribosomal RNA (397 nucleotides) under uncultured bacterium. Its description in RNAcentral is "partial 16S ribosomal RNA". It matches the Rfam family "Bacterial small subunit ribosomal RNA", at positions 523 to 918 of the family's 1533-position model. The record is from RNAcentral.
AUACGUAGGUGACAAGCGUUAUCCGGAUUUACUGGGCGUAAAGGGCGUGUAGGCGGUCUUGCAAGUCAGAAGUGAAAUUCCUGAGCUCAACUCGGGCGCUGCUUCUGAAACUGCAGGACUUGAGUGCUGGAGGGGAUAGCGGAAUUCCUAGUGGAGCGGUAAAAUGCGCAGAUAUUAGGAAGAACACCGGCGGCGAAGGCGGCUAUCUGGACAGUAACUGACGCUGAGGCGCGAAAGCGUGGGGAGCAAACAGGAUUAGAUACCCUGGUAGUCCACGCCGUAAACGAUGGGUACUAGGUGUAGGAGGUAUCGACCCCUUCUGUGCCGUCGUUAACACAAUAAGUACCCCGCCUGGGGAGUACGGUCGCAAGACUAAAACUUAAAGGAAUUGGCGGGG